This 4634-nucleotide long non-coding RNA is filed under the name Medicago truncatula (barrel medic). Its description in RNAcentral is "long non-coding RNA (MTRU_LNC008849)". Lineage: Eukaryota; Viridiplantae; Streptophyta; Magnoliopsida; Fabales; Fabaceae. The record is from RNAcentral.
ACCAACCAAUUUUCACAAGUUAUAAAGUAUUCAAGAAAGAUGCACAUUGUUAAAAAGGCUAACUUAUAUGCAUACCUUUGAUACCUCGAAUUUGAUAGACUUCGCAUGACUGAAAUUUCCGAGAAGAGAAAAAACCUCUUCAUCUAGCAUAUAACCUUGGCCCUCAUGUAAAAUGAUUUUUGCAGAAGUGUGGCAUGGGGACCGUGUUAAAAUGGUCUGUGGUAUAUCAUAACCACGGUAACUGAAUUCGUUUAGAUGCAAACUGUAAAAGAAAAUGGUAUCCUGGUGUAUUUCAUUGAUAUGAAAGUAGGGAAUAUAUACAAGGUUUCCUCCAUGAUUAUAGGAGAUAAAAAUGAAAACAUAACUACAAGAAAUAAAUGGAAAGAUAUACAAGGAUAUGAGUCAACUAUAAUUUGAAUUCCAAAUUACAGCAAAUCCCUAAAACUAGUCAAUUCAAUUAAUUCCAACAUCCCCUCUCAAGUUGGUGCAUGAAUAUCACACAUACCCAACUUGUCAAGAGAACCAGCAAGAGUCCUGGAGGUUACUGCCUUAGUAAGCAUAUCAGCAAGUUGUUGUUCUGAUUUUACAAACGGAAAUGCAAUAAUACCAGCUUCAAUCUUUUCUUUGAUGAAAUGCCUAUCAAUUUCCACGUGUUUUGUGCGAUCAUGUUGGAGAGGGUUAUGAGCAAUCUCUAUGGCAGAUUUAUUGUCACAGUAAAGCUUCAUUGAAUCCUCUUGUUCACAUCCAAGAUCCAUUAAAAGGUUUUUAAUCCAUAGCAGUUCACAUAUUCCUACUGCCAUCCCCCUGAAUUCUGCUUCGGCACUUGAUCUAGCAACUACUUGUUGUUUUUUACUCCUCCAAGUUACUAAAUUUCCUCCCACAAAAGUGAAGUAGCCUGCAGUAGACUUUCUGUCAUCCGCAGAUCCGGCCCAAUCAGCGUCGGUAUAACCAUCGACUUUGAGGUGACCAUGGUUUGAGAAUAACAAACCUUUUCCUGGAGCAGAUUUUAAGUACCUCAGUAUUCGUUCAACCGCAUCCAUAUGCGGUUUUCUUGGGUCAUGCAUAAAUUGGCUCACAACAUUAACUGCAUACGCUAUGUCUGGCCUAGUAUGAGACAAAUAAAUUAACUUCCCAACUAUUCUUUGAUAUCUUUGACGAUCCAUACUAGGCGCAUCAGCACAACAAAAGUUUUUGUGAUUUUGUUCUAUGGGAGUUUCAAUUGGUUUGCAUCCAAGCAUUCCUGUCUCAGUUAACGAAUCUAACACAUACUUUCUUUGAGAAAGAAAGAUACCAUGCUUGGACCUUGCAACUUCGAUCCCCAAAAAAUACUUUAGAUCUCCAGGUUGUUUCAUGUCAAAAUUAGAAGCUAAAUAUCGCUGCAAGCUCGAAAUUCAUUAGGAUCAUUUCCAGUCACAAUCAUAUCAUCAACAUAUAUUAUCAAUGCGGUGAUCUUACCAUGAUUAUGUUUAAGAAACAAGGUGUGAUCAGAAUUACUUUGCGUGUAACCAAAAAACUUCAUAGACUUAGUAAACCUUCCAAACCAAGCUCUUGGUGACUGUUUUAAUCCAUAUAGGGCCUUUUUAAGCUUGCACACCAUAGAAAUAUUUGAGUACCUUGGUAUGCCAGGGGGAGGAUCCAUAUACACUUCUUCUAUUAAAUCUCCAUGUAAAAAGGCAUUUUUUACAUCAAAUUGAAUAAGCGGCCAAUCUUGAUUUGCUGCUAAUGAUAGUAAUACCCUCACUGUGUUGAGUUUUGCAACUGGUGCAAAAGUUUCUUCAUAAUCAACUCCAUAGGAUUGAGUGUAACCUUUUGCAACUAACCUCGCUUUAAACCUCUCAACACUUCCAUCGGCCUUAUGUUUGAUAGUAAACACCCAUCUACAACCUACAGUGCUCUUUCCGACCGGUAAGGAGACAAGUUCCCAAGUAGCAUUUUUGUCCAAUGCUUCCAUUUCUGCUGUCAUUGCCUGUGUCCAUCUCGAAUCUGCUAGAGCUUCCUGCAUGUUACUAGGUGUAGAUGCAAUGGAUAAUUGAGAUGCAUAAUUAGCAUAUGACUUGGACAACUUUUGGAAUGACACAUAGUUAUUUAUAGGGUACUUUACCUUACAAUUAGGGUCAGGUUCAUACCUUAUUGGAGGUUGUCCUCUGUUAGUACGAGGCGGAAGAGUGUAAGUGCUAACAACAUGGUCAAAAUUUAAUGGACUAGAAGAAGAGUCAUUAUUUUCUAUAUUAGCGGAAACAUAAUUUUCUGUAUCAGCAAUAUAAUGAAUAGAAGCAAUAGUUUCAGAUGGUACCUCUGCAAAAUUUUCUGAGGAUUGGAUCAGCAGUAGGCUUGACGUUGAAGAGGAAAUUAUACUAUCAUCUUCGGUCAUAUUCUCAUUUCCAAUAUCUUGAUUCUCAUCUUCAAUAUCUUGAAUUUCAUUUUGAUUUUCUAUUGGCAUAGUAUCAAAUAACAUGAUUUCAUGGAUGUGUAUUUCAUGAUUCUACACCUCUACAUCACUUCCCCUCUGAGGUGAAGAAUGGAGUGUUUUAGAAAGAAAAAACAAUUCAUGUUCAUGAAAGGUAACAUCCAUUGAAACAAAAUAUUUUUUUGAAGAUGGAUGAUAAACUUUAUAUCCCUUUUGAGUGGUGCUGUAUCCCACAAAAACACAUUUCAUUGCUCUAGAUUCUAAUUUUGUUCUUUGGUGAGGAUGUAAACGUAAAUAUACGACACAGCCAAAAAUAUGGGGUGGUAAAUUAUUGAUAGAGUUAAGUGUGCAAUGAUUAGAAAGAACAUCAAUAGGUCUUCUAAAAUUUAGCACACUUGAGGGGACUUUAUUAAUAAGAUAAACUGCAGAGCUUAAAGCUUCACCCCAUAGAUAAGAAGGAACAUUACUCCCAAUCAAGAGUGACCUAGUAAUCUCCAAAAGGUGUCUAUUUUUUCUUUCAGCUACUCCAUUCUGCUGAGUAAGUAACAACGGAUCCACCAUCUUGUUUAAUAGAUAUUACCUCACAAUAAAGCUGAUAUGCCUUUGAUGCAUCUUGACUGACAGAGUAAGUCUCCUUGACCGAUUCCCAGAUCUUCUUGGCUGUAGGUAACCGGAUGAAAAGCGACCUAACAUCUUUUUUCAUUGCAUCCAGAAGCCAAGACUUGACCAAACAAUUCUCAUCUUCCCAAGUUUCAUAUUCAUCAGAGGUUUUUGUUGCAGGUGCGACCUUCUUUCCAGAGAUGUAACCCCAAUGUUUACGACCUCUGAUCUUGUUUUCUGCAUUAAGGGCCCAUUCGGUAUAGUUUGUGCCAUCAAGACGUUCAGGUGUGAGGGAUGAAUACAGAUCAUGUGUAUGUGGAGCAGAAUUUGAUUUUUGAGCAGAAUCUGAUUUAUCUGAGCCAUUCGCCAUUUUCUUACUCAGAAGCUAAUCUCCAAUUCCUAGAAAUGAGAGGUAAUUGGAGUCGGCUCUGAUACCAUGUAAAAGAAAAUGGUAUACUGGUGUAUUUCAUUGAUAUGAAAGUAGGGAAUAUAUAUACAAGGUUUCCUCCAUGAUUAUAGGAGAUAAAAAAUGAAAACAUAACUGCAAGAAAUAAAUGGAAAGAUAUACAAGUAUAUGAGUCAACUAUAAUUUGAAUUCCAAAUUACAGCAAAUCCCUAAAACUAGUCAAUUCAAUUAAUUCCAACACAACUAGAGAAAAAGAUAGAAGAAUUGAUAAUGUUAUAGGGCACAUCAACGUCAUGUUCAAUGGAAAUACUUUCAAGUAGAGGAGCAUCUAUAGAGACCCAAGUUGCAUCAACAAACCAAGCGCAGUUUUUGGUCUCAAAUUUUGUUAGAAGUGGGAACUAAGCUUAAGUUUAAUAUAGUUAGGGGAUUUGGGCGAGUGAGUGUUAAAGAAGAUUCCACACAACUUGAGAAGUUUUAGGUUUUGAAAACGAAUAGAUUUGGUGGGACUUGGUGCAUUAGCAAGGUAAACUGAAUUAGUGAGCAAUUCCAAUUCUUCAAUUGAUAUGGGAACUUUAAUAUGGGAAAUAGAAUUAACGAGCAAUUCCAAUUCUUCUAAUAAUAUGAAAUUUUUAAAUAGAGAAUCAGAAGCAAGAACGGAGAAUGAGAGUUGAAACUGCGAAUGGAUUCGAAGAUUUUUAACUCUGCGGUUGAAGAUGUUAGAGAACCAUAUAUCUAGAAGGAAUGGAUCAUACACACUGGAGAGGAAAAGAGAAAAGCUAUCCAUGGUUAAAGAGUAAGACUGAGUGCUCUAUUAACAAACCCAAUAAAGUUAUGUUUUCUUGAAUUUGAACCAUCGUGAUGCUCGUGUAUGGAGAGUUUAGUGAGGGAAGACCAACGGGUUUUCCAUUUUUUGGAUAAAAGAAAAGCACGAACAGCAUCUUCCGUCGGAAGAAAAGAGAGAAUGUGAGUUAUUAGUUGUUCAGGGAGCUUGUUGUAGAAUAUGUCAUCUUCAUCUGCAGUUGCAUGUGGAAGAGAGCUUGUGACGCUUUCCGUUUCGUGCGGUUGAAUCGGACGCCAUGUUUGAUUGCUUGCUUACUUCGUCUUCUGAUGAAGAGAGUUGGGGAGAUGAGUAGGAGAAAUAGGGUUGAGUGAUUGAGAGUUCAGCGAAAGAAAUAGGGUUUGGUGAAUCAAGUAUAUGUUUAUCUUUUGUUAUUUAGGUGU